CUGACGGGCUAUUGGAUCGCUAAGCCUGCGAGUCGAGAGGGUUCGGCCCUCGGCUGACGGCUCAGUAACACGUGGAUAAUCUGCCCUAAGGUGGAGGAUAACCUCGGGAAACUGAGAAUAAUACUCCAUAGGUCUAGGAUGCUGGAAUGCACUUAGGCUAAAAACUUCGGUGCCUUAGGAUGAGUCUGCGGACUAUCAGGUUGUAGUCAGGGUAAAGACCUGACUAGCCUACGACGGAUACGGGUUGUGAGGGCAAUAACCCGGAGAUGAUAUCUGAGACACGAUAUCAGGCCCUACGGGGCGCAGCAGGCGCGAAAACUUCGCACUGCGCGAAAGCGCGACGAGGGAAUCCCAAGUGUAUGCACGUAAGUGUAUACUGUUUCUCUGUCUAAAAAGCAGAGAGAGUAAGAGCUGGGUAAGACGGGUGCCAGCCGCCGCGGUAAUACCUGCAGCUCGAGUGGUGAUCGUUAUUAUUGGGCCUAAAACGUCCGUAGCCGGUCUUCUAAAUGCCUGGGUAAAUCGUAUGGCUUAACCAUACGAAUUCUGGGUAGACUGUUAGACUUGAGACCGGGAGAAGCUAGAGGUACUCCUGGGGUAGAGGUGAAAUUCUGUAAUCCUAGGGGGACGACCAGUGGCGAAGGCGUCUAGCUAGAACGGGUCUGACGGUGAGGGACGAAGCCCUGGGGCGCAAACGGGAUUAGAUACCCCGGUAGUCCAGGGUGUAAACGCUGCUUGCUUGAUGUUAGUCUGGCUCCGAGCCAGAUUAGUGUCGGAGAGAAGUUGUUAAGCAAGCUGCCUGGGAAGUACGGCCGCAAGACUGAAACUUAAAG
Molecule: ribosomal RNA, 830 nt
Filed under: uncultured archaeon
Lineage: Archaea
Description: bacterial SSU rRNA
Rfam family: Archaeal small subunit ribosomal RNA
Source: RNAcentral